CCCGCUUUGCAGCUAGAGCAAUCAGUUCUGGAUCUGUUUCCAGAGUUUACUAGGUUGAAACAGGAUAUAAAGUCUGAACUAGCAUUUAUAAAGUCGAAGCUUCAGAGUGGACAAGAUAAGAGAGUUGCAUUUCAUGCAAAACUACAACCAAGGAUUGCAGUUAUGGAGCCUUCAAAGACAGUGGUAUUUGAUUACGUUAUCACAAACACUGGAAGCGCUUAUAACAAUCGAAAUGGGCAUUUUACUGCUCUUUAUGAUGGAGUGUAUUUCUUUGUUUCUACAUUUCAUUCGAUGAUGAUAUUUAAUAGCUAUGGUCUACACUUGCAAAUGGUUAAACACAACUAUGUUUUAUUCCAAGCAUCAGCUGGCGCAAGUAGUGAUGGAAGCUCAAUGAAUGCAAUAGUAUCCCUAAAACGAGGUGAUGUUAUCAAAAUACGGAAUAAUCCAAUUCGUAGAGGAACAUUUAAAGAAGGUAUGACUUUCUUUUCUGGUUAUCUUGUGUAUUAAAACCUGAACACAAAUAAUACACGAUUUCCAUAUGGUUAAUUCCAAAUUACUUUGAUUUAUAGUAUUGUAACAGUGCAGAAUUGCCAAUGUCUUGAUAAACUUUUGUGAAACCUGU
Molecule: long non-coding RNA, 622 nt
Organism: Mytilus californianus (California mussel)
Lineage: Eukaryota; Metazoa; Mollusca; Bivalvia; Mytilida; Mytilidae
Exons: 2
Source: RefSeq, a predicted model, not a curated record